UACGUAGGGUGCGAGCGUUAAUCGGAAUUACUGGGCGUAAAGCGUGCGCAGGCGGUUUUGUAAGCCGGAUGUGAAAUCCCCGGGCUUAACCUGGGAAUGGCAUUCGGGACUGCAAGGCUGGAGUGCGGCAGAGGAGACUGGAAUUCCUGGUGUAGCAGUGAAAUGCGUAGAUAUCAGGAGGAACACCGGUGGCGAAGGCGGGGUCUCUGGGCCGAUACUGACGCUGGAGGAGCGAAAGCGUGGGGAGCGAACAGGA
RNAcentral lists this ribosomal RNA (256 nucleotides) under uncultured bacterium. RNAcentral's name for it is "partial 16S ribosomal RNA". It matches the Rfam family "Bacterial small subunit ribosomal RNA", at positions 524 to 777 of the family's 1533-position model. The record is from RNAcentral.